ACUUCCGGCUUCCCUGCUCCCACAAAAUGGUAGCCGCCGUGGGGGAUGUCCAGUUUUUUUUCCUCUUCCCAAGUACAGACGCAGAGCAGACUUGUCUUUCCGCUUAACCUCAACCUCGUGUGAUCUGCCAGUUUCGCUCCCGGUUAGCCCAGGACUUUUUAUAGCAUAGAGUUUUAAAGCAAGGGCUUAGAAUCAGACCUGGGUCAAAAUCCUGCCUUCCACCUUCACCAAGGCAGUGUGACCUUGACGUUCCUACAUAAGAGAUUAAAAUGUAAACCCUUAGCCCUGAGCUUGUUUUAGAAUCUGGGCCCCGUCCAUGACUGCUUCUAUUCUAUUGCGGUACGGGGGUGGGGUGGGGGUGGGGAACUACAUGCAUGUCCACUCAGUAUACUGAAACUGGUUACAUUGAUGGAAAACUUCCAAAGCUUCUUGAAAUAAAGACGCCAAAUUCCAGCGAAACAGCUGAUGCCAGCCAGCUUGAAGACCCCUGCCACAGAAGAAGGGAAUCAGCAUGAGAAUACAGCUUCUUCAUCUCGCUGUCCCAUGACUUCGCCCUGUACUC
This 562-nucleotide long non-coding RNA is filed under the name Homo sapiens (human). RNAcentral describes it as "non-protein coding lnc-SCRN3-1:6". Lineage: Eukaryota; Metazoa; Chordata; Mammalia; Primates; Hominidae. The record is from RNAcentral.